AGGUCUUAUAGUUAAAUUGUAUAUAAUAUAAAAUUGCAAAUUUUAAGAUGAGAAAAAUUCUAAGGCUU
This 68-nucleotide transfer RNA is filed under the name Phiaris dolosana. Its description in RNAcentral is "tRNA-Cys". It matches the Rfam family "tRNA". From Rfam's summary of the family: Transfer RNA (tRNA) molecules are approximately 80 nucleotides in length. Their secondary structure includes four short double-helical elements and three loops (D, anti-codon, and T loops). Lineage: Eukaryota; Metazoa; Arthropoda; Insecta; Lepidoptera; Tortricidae. The record is from RNAcentral.